RNAcentral lists this transfer RNA (71 nucleotides) under Acrossocheilus paradoxus (Taiwan torrent carp). Its description in RNAcentral is "transfer RNA-Phe". It matches the Rfam family "tRNA". Rfam says of the family: Transfer RNA (tRNA) molecules are approximately 80 nucleotides in length. Lineage: Eukaryota; Metazoa; Chordata; Actinopteri; Cypriniformes; Cyprinidae. The record is from RNAcentral.
UAGCUAGCGUAGCUUAAUACAAAGCAUGGCACUGAAGAUGCCAAGAUGGGCCCUAAAAAGCCCCGCAUGCA